GGGCUGUUGGUUUAGUGGUAUAAUACCCCCUUAGCAUUAGCCCAAAGGCAUGGGGGUGGUCCGGAGUUCGAUUCUCCGACAGUCCA
This is a non-coding RNA of Emydomyces testavorans, 86 nucleotides long. NCBI's taxonomy places the organism in Eukaryota, Fungi, Ascomycota, Eurotiomycetes, Onygenales, Nannizziopsiaceae. The record is from the annotation of a GenBank genome assembly.